UUAAGAUACUAAGAGCAUACGGUGGAUGCCUUGGCGAUAUCUGCCGACGAAGGACGUGACAAGCUGCGAAAAGCUGCGGAGAGAUGCAAAUAAUCGGCGACCCGCAGACAUCCGAAUGGAGAAAUCCGGCUGUGAUGAUGCACAGCCAUCCAUGCCCAAGAGCAUGAGAAGGGAACCGGGCGAACUGAAACAUCUAAGUAGCCCGAGGAAAAGAAAUCAAACGAGAUACCCCAAGUAGCGGCGAGCGAACAGGGAAGAAGCCCAAACCGGUGAAGGAAACUUUACCGGGGUUGAGGACCAUCAGAACCGCGAAGAACCUUAGCCGAAACUGUUGGGAAACAGUGCCGAAGACAGUGAAAGCCUGGUAGGCGAAAAAGAGAAACGCGGAGAUGGCACCAGAGUACCGCGGGACACGAGAAAUCCCGUGGGAAGCAGGGGGGACCACCCUCCAAGGCAAAACACAGAUAUCGACCGAUAGCGCAUAGUACCAUGAGGGAAAGGUGAAAAGCACCCCGGGAGGGGAAUGAAAGAGAACCUGAAACCGUAUGUUUACAAGCAGUCGGAGACCGCUUAAUAAUAAGGUCGACGGCGUGCCUAUUGAAGAAUGAACCGGCGAGUUACGAAGCCUGGCAAGGUUAAGCAGGAAAUGCGGAGCCGAAGCGAAAGCGAGUCUUAAGAGGGCGCAAGUCAGGAAGCGUAGACCCGAAACCACAGUGAUCUACCCAUGUCCAGGUUGAAACACAGGUAAAAAUGUGUGGAGGACCGAACCUAUAUCCGUUGAAAAGGGUUAGGAUGAGGUGUGGGUAGGGGUGAAAUUCCAAUCGAACGUGGAGAUAGCUGGUUCUCCCCGAAAUAGCUUUAGGGCUAGCCUCAGGGAAAAGAUUGCAGGCGGUAGAGCACUGAUCAGGAGAGGGACCUACCCGGUUACCAAACCCAGUCAAACUCCGAAUGGCUGCAAUCAUACCUGGGAGUCAGACUGCGACUAAUAAGGGCCGCAGUCAAAAGGGAAACAGCCCAGACCAUCAGCUAAGGUCCCCAAUGCCGUGCUAAGUGGCGAAGGAUGUGGCAUUUCAUAAACAACCAGGAUGUUGGCUCAGAAGCAGCCACCAUUUAAAGAGUGCGUAAUAGCUCACUGGUCGAGAGACGCUGCGCCGAAAAUGUCCGGGGCUCAAGCACGGAACCGAAGCUAUGGCAUGAUAGCAAUAUCAUGGGUAGGGGAGCGUUCUUAUAAGGAAGAAGCAUGACCGGAAGGACAUGUGGACAAAUAAGAAGUGAGAAUGCCGGUAUGAGUAUCGAAAAGAAAGGUGAGAAUCCUUUCCACCGAAAGCCCGAGGGUUCCUGAGCAACGAUCGUCGACUCAGGGUAAGUCGGGACCUAAGCCGAGGCGAGAAGCGUAGGCGAUGGACAACAGGUUGAAAUUCCUGUACCGGAUCAAGUCGAUCGAGCGAAGGAGCGACGCAGGAGGGCACAUGAUCGCGCGGCUGGAAGAGCGCGUCCAAGUGCGUAUGUUGCCGCAGAGGAAAACCCCUGCAGCUAAAAGCAGAGACAUGAUGGGGAGUUAAAGGAAACUUUGACGAACUCAUGGAUCCCACACUGCCAAGAAAAACUUCUAGCGAGACAAGAUCCGCCCGUACCGUAAACCGACACAGGUAGGCGGGGAGAGAAUCCUAAGGUGCGCGGGAAAACCCUCGUUAAGGAACUCGGCAAAUUGCAUCCGUAACCUAGGGAGAAGGAUGGCCCCCGGUCAGUGAAGAGCAGAAACGCUCAGAGCUAAAAGGGGCGGCAGAAAAGAGGCCCAAGCAACUGUUUACCAAAAACACAGGUGCCUGCGAAAGCGAAAGCUGAAGUAUAGGUGCUGACGCCUGCCCGGUGCCGGAAGGUUAAGGAGAGAAGUUAGCGAACGCGAAGCAUCGAACUGAAGCCCCGGUGAACGGCGGCCGUAACUAUAACGGUCCUAAGGUAGCGAAAUUCCUUGUCGGGUAAGUUCCGACC
Molecule: ribosomal RNA, 1992 nt
Filed under: human gut metagenome
Description: bacterial LSU rRNA
Rfam family: Bacterial large subunit ribosomal RNA
Source: RNAcentral